GUUCCCGUUGAUCCUGCGGGAGAUUGCUGCUAUGGGAGUUCGAUUAAGCCAUGCAAGUCAGAGGGCUCGCAAGAGCACAGGCUGAAUGCUCAGUAACACGUCAAUAAUCUGCCCUUAGAUCUGGGAUACCCUUGGGAAACUGAGGUUAAAACCGGAUAGGCAAAGGAUACCGGAAUGUUCCUUUGCUGAAAGGCAACGUCUAAGGAUGAGUUGGCGGCUGAUUAGGCUGUUGGUAGUGUAAAGGACUACCAAACCUUUGAUCAGUACGGGCCGUGAGAGCGGUAGCCCGGAGAAGGGUACUGAGAUACUGACCCUAGCCCUACGGGGUGCAGCAGGCGCGAAAACUUUACACUGUACGGAAGUGCGAUAAGGGAACUCCUAGUGCUCAUGUUUUACAUGGGCUUUUGUCAAGUGUAAAUAGCUUGGCGAAUAAGUGGUGGGUAAGACGGGUGCCAGCCGCCGCGGUAACCCCAGCACCACAAGUGGGGCUCGUAUUUAUUUGGUCUAAAGCGCUCGUAGCCGGUCAUGUAAAUCUCUUGUGAAAUCGUUGCGCUUAACGUAACGGCGUGCAGGAGAAACUGCAGGACUAGGGACUGGGAGGCGUAGAGGGUAUUCCUGGGGGAGCAGUAAAAUGCUAUAAUCCUAGGAGGACCACCUGUGGCGAAGGCGCUCUACGAGAACAGGUCCGACGGUGA
RNAcentral lists this ribosomal RNA (695 nucleotides) under Nanobdellota archaeon. Its description in RNAcentral is "bacterial SSU rRNA". It matches the Rfam family "Archaeal small subunit ribosomal RNA", at positions 1 to 700 of the family's 1478-position model. The record is from RNAcentral. Lineage: Archaea; Nanobdellati; Nanobdellota.